UUUAAUAAAAUUGCGAACAAAUUUCAGAGUCAAUGCUUUAUUGCAAAUGUCCGAGAAGAGUUAGAAAAGCGCACUCCAGUUCAGUUACGACAUGAAAUCCUUGGCAAAUUGUUAGGAGGAGAAAAUCUUGAUGUAGGCACACCAUGUACAUUGCGUCAUUCAACUGAAAGAAGACUUCAAAAUACAAAAGCUCUUAUUGUUCUUGAUGAUGUGUAUGGUUACUUACACCUAAAAGAGUUAGUAGAAGGGUGGAAUUUGUGUGGUCCAGGAAGUAGAAUCAUUGU
This 284-nucleotide unclassified non-coding RNA is filed under the name Hevea brasiliensis (rubber tree). Lineage: Eukaryota; Viridiplantae; Streptophyta; Magnoliopsida; Malpighiales; Euphorbiaceae. The record is from RNAcentral.